This 32-nucleotide small nuclear RNA is filed under the name Phaeodactylum tricornutum CCAP 1055/1. Its description in RNAcentral is "snRNA PTsRNA00026b". The record is from RNAcentral. Lineage: Eukaryota; Bacillariophyta; Bacillariophyceae; Surirellales; Neidiaceae.
GCUUCCAUAGCUCAGUUGGUUAGAGCACUCCA